This 424-nucleotide ribosomal RNA is filed under the name uncultured Actinomycetes bacterium. RNAcentral's name for it is "bacterial SSU rRNA". It matches the Rfam family "Bacterial small subunit ribosomal RNA", at positions 608 to 1028 of the family's 1533-position model. The record is from RNAcentral. Lineage: Bacteria; Bacillati; Actinomycetota; Actinomycetes.
CUCAACCUCGGAAUUGCAGUCGAUACUGCUGUGACUCGAGUCCGGUAGAGGAGAAUGGAAUUCCCGGUGUAGCGGUGAAAUGCGCAGAUAUCGGGAGGAACACCAGUAGCGAAGGCGGUUCUCUGGGCCGGCACUGACGCUGAGGAGCGAAAGCGUGGGGAGCAAACAGGAUUAGAUACCCUGGUAGUCCACGCCGUAAACGUUGGAUACUAGGUGUGGCGGUCUUACCAACGACUGCUGUGCCGAAGCUAACGCAUUAAGUAUCCCGCCUGGGGAGUACGGCCGCAAGGCUAAAACUCAAAGGAAUUGACGGGUCCCCGCACAAGCGGCGGAGCAUGCGGCUUAAUUCGAUGCAACCCGAAGAACCUUACCUGGGUUUGACAUCACGGGAAAAGCUGUAGAAAUACAGUGUCCAUUAGGGCCC